Molecule: long non-coding RNA, 3151 nt
Filed under: Triticum aestivum (bread wheat)
Lineage: Eukaryota; Viridiplantae; Streptophyta; Magnoliopsida; Poales; Poaceae
Description: long non-coding RNA (TAES_LNC027229)
Source: RNAcentral
UACACUUGCCAUUUCUUCCCUGAUCAACUCCUGUCGCCACUACUAGCAGCCACUGCUGCUCAUUCAGCCAGCAUUGCCACUGCUUCGUCUAAUUUCUGUCCCUGCAGUCUUCUUCAUUGGCACGGUCAUAGCUUCUCCAAGAUCUCUGAAAGACUAGGAGGACAUAAACUUUAUUUCAGCUAUAACGAUGUUAUUUUCUGCAUUAAACAGUUAUUGUGAUGAUAUCUGGUAGUUGAGCCCAUCUGCUCCAGUAUUUCUUUAAUUUCAUCUGUUUGUGGUGUGCCUGUACUUUUGGUUCCUCUGUUUUGCUUACAGGCUACUGCUCGAUCUGUCUCCCCUUUAAAGUGAUCUUACUUCUCAGAUUUGCUCGUUGUGGUUGCUCUGCUGGAACAGAAGUGUGUAGAUUGUUCACAUAAGAUGUUGAGUACCAAUAAUAUAUUACAAACUAUCGGUUUCGGGUUAAGAUAUCUGCUUACUAAACCAAAAACCCAUGUUAUGUAAAUCUGCCCAGAAAAAAGUUGGCAUUCAUUCUGGCAGGUUUGUCGAGCUUGUGAAACAAGUUUUUGGAGCCUCCUGUAUUUGAAGUACAAUGCGAGAGAAACUGAGAAUUGAUGGCGAACAAGAUCAAGAGAAUCAAGAUUAAUUAAGUUGGGUUAGACACUAACAAUUCCAUUCUUAUGUGCCCUUCAGUCCUUCACUCUCUUCUCCUACCCUGAUUUGCCUUUCUUUUCGAGGUUGAAUCCCCUGGCCUCUGCAUUAUUGUGAUGCACACAUCUAUCUUUGCUGAAGUAGAUGCAAGGCAACGAGACUAAAGUCAUGAACAAGCAGAACAUAACAAAGAUAACUAUGUCAUAACAGUUGCAAGGUAUGAAUCUAACACCUAUGAUUUAGUCAACUUUGUCCACAACAACGCCUUCAAGAAGGGAUAAAUGCCCCAGAAAAAACACCCCCCGCGUCGCCCUCCUCUGGCGACACGGGGGGCGACUCCCCUCGAGCGCCGUCGGGCCUUCCCCCCCUUCUCGUCUCGCCGAUGUCGGAGGCCCUCCGCCGGCGAAGCUCGGGCAGGCUCCAGUGAGGGUGGCGGUGGGGCCUCUCCCUGGGUGCCCUCCGUUCUUCUCCUCCCCUCCUCGCUGGGUGUGGCGGCUGCGCGGCGGCGCGCGCCCGAUCUACGAGGUCUGGCGGCGGGGAGCAGCCGCGGUCCAUGGCGGGCUGCUGGCUGCGGCCAGUGUCGUCAUGGUGGCCCAGACACGUGGUGGGGUGGACGCGGUUGGCCGGGGCUAGCGGCCAGAUCUAAGCGCCAUGCGCGACAGCGGGGAUGGCUGGUGGUGCCGCGGUGGCUGCGUUCGGCCGGUGCUCUGUGUUGCUUUGGCGGCGGGGCUGGCGGUCGGAGGUGCGGUCGGUGGUUGCUUGCUCUGUCGGACCUUAGGCUGGGUCUUGGCGAGCGGCGCGGGUUAGGGCAACGGCCCGACGUGGUGGUUGCUCUGGUCAUGGGCUACGGCGGCGUGGGGAGGUAUGGUGGCCUCUCUGCUGCUUGGUGUCUACACGACAGCUCAGCGGAUCCGGCUGCUGCGACGGUUGGCUUCUCCGCCAGCGCUGGUUCGUUUGCAGGUGGACUGUUUCGGCCUUCAAUCCUUCUCCUCGGCGCCGUGCGCUACUUUCGUCGAAGGGCCGGUCCUCUCCCAGCUGCGGUCCAUCGCCCGUCUCGCGCCCAGUGUUGCAGAACCGAGCUAGUCCCGCGCCCGGCUGCAGGACCGAGGUUGUCUCGCGCGCGGUAGCAGGACCAUGCUUGUCUUGCGCCCGGCUGCAGGACCGAGCUCAUCUCGUGCUCGGCUGCAGGAUCGUGCUCGUCUCACGGCCGGCUGCAGGGCCGUGCUCGUCUCGUGCCCGGUGCGGCAGGACGGGUCGAUGGGGGCCAGUUUUGGCCGGCCUAUUGGGUCUCGGCGUUCUAGGGGUGCAAAAGGCGGGGCCUUUCCGCUCGUCUCUUUGAUUGGGGUAGCGGCGGGUCUCGAGUGUUGAUGGUGUCCCAUGCUUCCUUGGCCGUCUUCUUGGCGCCAAGGGUGAGCACCAUCUCAUGUGGGAUAGAGCGCAAGAUCGCCUCCAUCGCCAACCGGUCCUCCUCGUACCCGACAUCGCCGGUUUCCACGGCUUUCCACAUAUGCCGCACCUCCAUGAUGACUUCCAUCAGGGUAGUUGGUCCGCGUGAGGAGAGGGAAGGAGGUACUGGACAUGCCCACGUCUCGCACGGAGCGUGGCGCACCCAGCUCGCCUCCCGGCCUGCCUCGCAGCACGAGCGCGUUUGCCGCACGGGCCUCCUCAGCCGAGCUCUGCUCAACGGUCUUGGAGCCGUCGCCGGCGACGCCUUCUUUCGGCAUAUGCUUCGGCAUAUAACCUAAGGCUCUGAUGCCAAUUGUUAGCCCAACUACAGUCUAGCUAGCUCUCCCGCCGGGAUCGAACUACAGACUAGUUAGUACCAGACUGAAGAGCAGAAUAUCUGGACGAGGAUCACUAGCACGAACACUACCAAGCACACACACUCACAUACUAGUGAGGAGACACGGUGGUACUACUAGUGGAAGCUGAAUGAUUUUGCUUCUGAACUGGCUUGAUUACAAGUGAAGGAGCCGGGUCCUUUUAUAGGCUGGGCUGGACGUGCACACAGCACGCCCACACUGAAAUUCCUACAUACUUGCAUGUCACUUACGGGACUACUACCAUAACCAUGCAAAGCACCUUCCUAGCAACUACUAGCGUACUUGCUUGCACAGCUAAAGUCUACUUCUAGUCAAGUUCCUCAACGUUAAGGAAAACUACAGGAAAUAACUAGGAAACUACCUAGUCAUUGCACGCCAAGGAAGCUGUUGGUGCUGCAUGCAUGCAACCGAAGACCAUGGUUGACUCAACACGGACUUGACUCUCUACCAUCCAGAAGAAGCGCUCUAUGACGAUAACUCGAGGGCGAGUUCCAAACAACCAGGGGAGAAUGAUGAGGAACGAUAGAUGAGAGAAAAAGAAGAAGAGAGAAAAACACAUGCCAGAUCUGUUUGGGUACUUCUAGAUACUUCCACUCUAGUGUAGUAUUUCUUUUCUUUUCUUUUCUAUCCUACCUACUGUUUUCCAGAGUCUUCUAGUUGUGAGUAGCUAUGAGUAGAAU